RNAcentral lists this small RNA (66 nucleotides) under Streptococcus alactolyticus. Its description in RNAcentral is "Streptococcus sRNA Spd-sr37". It matches the Rfam family "Streptococcus sRNA Spd-sr37". Lineage: Bacteria; Bacillati; Bacillota; Bacilli; Lactobacillales; Streptococcaceae. The record is from RNAcentral.
CAAUAUUCAUGAUGGUCAAAGCUCAUGAGAAUGGUACGUUUUUUGACGUGCGAUUUUCGAGGCUUU